RNAcentral lists this small RNA (67 nucleotides) under Lysinibacillus sp. AC-3. Its description in RNAcentral is "Bacillaceae-1 RNA". It matches the Rfam family "Bacillaceae-1 RNA". Lineage: Bacteria; Bacillati; Bacillota; Bacilli; Caryophanales; Bacillaceae. The record is from RNAcentral.
AAUAGAGGAACGACGGCUAAAAGCAUCACAUCCUGUGAUAACGCCCCCGUGACCAACAUCAUGCUGU